UACGUAGGUGGCAAGCGUUGUUCGGAAUUACUGGGCGUAAAGCGCGUGUAGGCGGGUCUUUAAGUCAGGGGUGAAAUGCCAGGGCUCAACCUUGGAACUGCCUUUGAUACUGGAGACCUUGAGUCCGGGAGAGGUGAGUGGAAUUGCGAGUGUAGAGGUGAAAUUCGUAGAUAUUCGCAAGAACACCAGUGGCGAAGGCGGCUCACUGGCCCGGAACUGACGCUGAGACGCGAAAGCGUGGGGAGCAAACAGG
RNAcentral lists this ribosomal RNA (253 nucleotides) under uncultured bacterium. Its description in RNAcentral is "partial 16S ribosomal RNA". It matches the Rfam family "Bacterial small subunit ribosomal RNA", at positions 524 to 776 of the family's 1533-position model. The record is from RNAcentral.